This 103-nucleotide small nuclear RNA is filed under the name Microcebus murinus (gray mouse lemur). Lineage: Eukaryota; Metazoa; Chordata; Mammalia; Primates; Cheirogaleidae. The record is from RNAcentral.
GUGUUCACUUCGGCAGCACAUGCACUAAAAUUGGAUACAGAGAAGGUUAGCAUGGCCCCUGCACAACGAUGACAUGCAAAUCCAUGAAGGAUUCCAUUAAAAA